Molecule: transfer RNA, 52 nt
Filed under: Burkholderia pseudomallei 1258a
Lineage: Bacteria; Pseudomonadati; Pseudomonadota; Betaproteobacteria; Burkholderiales; Burkholderiaceae
Description: partial tRNA-Asn
Rfam family: tRNA
About the family: Transfer RNA (tRNA) molecules are approximately 80 nucleotides in length. Their secondary structure includes four short double-helical elements and three loops (D, anti-codon, and T loops).
Source: RNAcentral
CGCCGGACUGUUAAUCCGUAGGUCCCUGGUUCGAGCCCAGGUCGGGGAGCCA